Quercus robur (English oak) is the source of this 564-nucleotide long non-coding RNA. RefSeq lists it as uncharacterized. Lineage: Eukaryota; Viridiplantae; Streptophyta; Magnoliopsida; Fagales; Fagaceae. The transcript is spliced from 2 exons. The record is from RefSeq and is a predicted model, not a curated record.
GUCAACUGCACGGUUGGCCUCUCUAAAUUACAAGUGUUGCAACCGGGUGCAUUUCUUGUUGCCAAGGAGGUCCUCAACCUACUAGCUGUAAUUGGACCGUAGCACAUAUCUUCUUUAUCUUAUCCUGGUUCACAGUUAUCUUAGCGGUUAUUCUGUGAAUGACUGCUUCUAUAGAAAAUAGUAGUGUGAAUGGGAAUGCAUUCGUACUAUGCCCUGUUGCGGAUCCUGGACUCUCUGCUAGUGGUGCCGUUUUCUCGCUUGUGACUGUGGUGUUGGGUCAUGUAUCUUAUAUUUUAAGUUUGGAAAAGAACAGUAACAAUUCUAAUCAAGGAGGCAUAGCUAUGGCACAGCCUCAGCUUGCAGAGGCCAGUCUUUAUCAAGGUGCCACACCUAUAGGACAACCUCUCUCUCUUCUCUCUUUGAUCCAAAAUACGAUAGCUUUUGCAGUUUGGGAGAAGAUUUUAAUUGUACUGUGAUGGUUUUUAUUUAGUGAUUGUGUUUGUGGAUGAUAAUGCCAAGAUUUGGAAGGAAAAUUAGUGAACUAUAAGUUCUUUUUCUUCUCUA